This 309-nucleotide ribosomal RNA is filed under the name unclassified Gymnophallidae. RNAcentral's name for it is "bacterial SSU rRNA". The stretch from base 190 to 309 matches the Rfam family "Eukaryotic small subunit ribosomal RNA", at positions 745 to 868 of the family's 1831-position model. Lineage: Eukaryota; Metazoa; Platyhelminthes; Trematoda; Gymnophallidae. The record is from RNAcentral.
UCUGGGUCGUACGGCCGCAUGCUGUACUUGUGCUGUCUGCUCUAACGGGUAGAUAUGCACAAGUCAGUGUAGUGGUUGUGCAGCCUUUCUGCCGUGUCUGUGAAAACGGGUCUGUCUGGUUCGGUGGGUUUAUCCUGUUGGCCAGGCGGCAUGCUCUCAGAUGCCUUUAACACGGUGUCGGGGGCGGACGGCACGUUUACUUUGAACAAAUUUGAGUGCUCAAAGCAGCCAAUGCGCCUGAAAAUUCUUGCAUGGAAUAAUGGAAUAGGACUUCGGUCUAUUUUGUUGGUUUCGGAUCCGAAGUAAUGG